AUUGAACGCUGGCGGCAGGCCUAACACAUGCAAGUCGAGCGGAUGAAGGGAGCUUGCUCCUGGAUUCAGCGGCGGACGGGUGAGUAAUGCCUAGGAAUCUGCCUUGUAGUGGGGGAUAACGUCCGGAAACGGGCGCUAAUACCGCAUACGUCCUGAGGGAGAAAGUGGGGGAUCUUCGGACCUCACGCUAUCAGAUGAGCCUAGGUCGGAUUAGCUAGUUGGUGGGGUAAAGGCCUACCAAGGCGACGAUCCGUAACUGGUCUGAGAGGAUGAUCAGUCACCUUGGAAGUGAGACAGGGUCCCGACUCCUGCGGGAGGCAGCAGUGGGGACUAUUGGACGAUGGGGGAGAGGCUAAUCCAGGCCUGCGGCGUGUGUGCUGAAGGUCCUCGGAUGGGAAAGCAAUUUAGGUUGUGAGGAAGGGCAGUAAGUUAAUACCUGGCUGUUUUGACGGUACCAACAGAAUAAGCUCCGGCUAACUUCGUG
RNAcentral lists this ribosomal RNA (484 nucleotides) under uncultured bacterium. RNAcentral describes it as "partial 16S ribosomal RNA". It matches the Rfam family "Bacterial small subunit ribosomal RNA", at positions 30 to 507 of the family's 1533-position model. The record is from RNAcentral.